Oncorhynchus keta (chum salmon) is the source of this 707-nucleotide long non-coding RNA. RefSeq lists it as uncharacterized. The transcript is spliced from 3 exons. NCBI's taxonomy places the organism in Eukaryota, Metazoa, Chordata, Actinopteri, Salmoniformes, Salmonidae. The record is from RefSeq and is a predicted model, not a curated record.
AAUACAUCAUGUAUAUAAUGAACAGACUAGGUCUAUACUGCUCCUACAUGGUGUAACAAUACAUCAUGUAGAUGUAUAUAAUGAACAGACUAGGUCUAUACUGCUCCUACAUGGUGUAACAAUACAUCAUGUAGAUGUAUAUAAUGAACAGACUAGGUCUAUACUGCUCCUACAUGGUGUAACAAUACAUCAUGUAGAUGUAUAUAAUGAACAGACUAGGUCUAUACUGCUCCUACAUGGUGUAACAAUACAUCAUGUAGAUGUAUAUAAUGAACAGACUAGGUCUAUACUGCUCCUACAUGGUGUAACAAUACAUCAUGUAGAUGUAUAUAAUGAACAGACUAGGUCUAUACUGCUCCUACAUGGUGUAACAUCAUGUAGAUGUAUAUAAUGAACAGACUAGGUCUAUACUGCUCCUACAUGGUGUAACAAUACAUCAUGUAGAUGUAUAUAAUGAACAGACUAGGUCUAUACUGCUCCUACAUGGUGUAACAAUACAUCAUGUAGAUGUAUAUAAUGAACAGACUAGGUCUAUACUGCUCCUACAUGGUGUAACAAUACAUCAUGUAGAUGUAUAUAAUGAACAGACUAGGUCUAUACUGCUCCUACAUGGUGUAACAAUACAUCAUGUAGAUGUAUAUAAUGAACAGACUAGGUCUAUACUGCUCCUACAUGGUGUAACAAUACAUCAUGUAUAUAAUGAACAG